GCUUACCAUGCAAGUCGAACGAUGAAGCCCAGCUUGCUGGGUGGAUUAGUGGCGAACGGGUGAGUAACACGUGAGUAACCUGCCCCCGACUCUGGGAUAAGCCCGGGAAACUGGGUCUAAUACCGGAUAUUACCUCUUGCCGCAUGGCAGGUGGUGGAAAGAUUUAUCGGUGGGGGAUGGACUCGCGGCCUAUCAGCUUGUUGGUGAGGUAAUGGCUCACCAAGGCGACGACGGGUAGCCGGCCUGAGAGGGUGACCGGCCACACUGGGACUGAGACACGGCCCAGACUCCUACGGGAGGCAGCAGUGGGGAAUAUUGCACAAUGGGCGAAAGCCUGAUGCAGCGACGCCGCGUGAGGGAUGACGGCCUUCGGGUUGUAAACCUCUUUCAGUAGGGAAGAAGCGAAAGUGACGGUACCUGCAGAAGAAGCGCCGGCUAACUACGUGCCAGCAGCCGCGGUAAUACGUAGGGCGCAAGCGUUAUCCGGAUUUAUUGGGCGUAAAGAGCUCGUAGGCGGUUUGUCGCGUCUGCCGUGAAAGUCCGAGGCUCAACCUCGGAUCUGCGGUGGGUACGGGCAGACUAGAGUGAUGUAGGGGAGACUGGAAUUCCUGGUGUAGCGGUGAAAUGCGCAGAUAUCAGGAGGAACACCGAUGGCGAAGGCAGGUCUCUGGGCAUUUACUGACGCUGAGGAGCGAAAGCAUGGGGAGCGAACAGGAUUAGAUACCCUGGUAGUCCAUGCCGUAAACGUUGGGCACUAGGUGUGGGGGACAUUCCACGUUUUCCGCGCCGUAGCUAACGCAUUAAGUGCCCCGCCUGGGGAGUACGGCCGCAAGGCUAAAACUCAAAGGAAUUGACGGGGGCCCGCACAAGCGGCGGAGCAUGCGGAUUAAUUCGAUGCAACGCGAAGAACCUUACCAAGGCUUGACAUGUGCCAGACCGCUUCAGAGAUGGAGUUUCCCUUCGGGGCUGGGUUCACAGGUGGUGCAUGGUUGUCGUCAGCUCGUGUCGUGAGAUGUUGGGUUAAGUCCCGCAAC
RNAcentral lists this ribosomal RNA (1034 nucleotides) under Glutamicibacter arilaitensis. Its description in RNAcentral is "bacterial SSU rRNA". It matches the Rfam family "Bacterial small subunit ribosomal RNA", at positions 46 to 1093 of the family's 1533-position model. The record is from RNAcentral. Lineage: Bacteria; Bacillati; Actinomycetota; Actinomycetes; Micrococcales; Micrococcaceae.